AUUGAACGCUGGCGGCAUGCCUUACACAUGCAAGUCGAACGGCAGCGGGGGAGAAGCUUGCUUUUCCUGCCGGCGAGUGGCGAACGGGUGAGUAAUACAUCGGAACGUGCCCUGUAGUGGGGGAUAACUAGUCGAAAGAUUAGCUAAUACCGCAUACGACCUGAGGGGGAAAGUGGGGGACCGCAAGGCCCCAUGCUAUAGGAGCGGCCGAUGUCUGAUUAGCUAGUUGGUGGGGUAAAGGCCUACCAAGGCGACGAUCAGUAGCUGGUCUGAGAGGACGAUCAGCCACACUGGGACUGAGACACGGCCCAGACUCCUACGGGAGGCAGCAGUGGGGAAUUUUGGACAAUGGGCGAAAGCCUGAUCCAGCAAUGCCGCGUGUGUGAAGAAGGCCUUCGGGUUGUAAAGCACUUUUGUCCGGAAAGAAACGGCUCUGGUUAAUACCUGGGGUCGAUGACGGUACCGGAAGAAUAAGGACCGGCUAACUACGUGCCAGCAGCCGCGGUAA
RNAcentral lists this ribosomal RNA (508 nucleotides) under uncultured bacterium. RNAcentral describes it as "partial 16S ribosomal RNA". It matches the Rfam family "Bacterial small subunit ribosomal RNA", at positions 30 to 523 of the family's 1533-position model. The record is from RNAcentral.